AAGAUUAUCGCUAGUAGAGAAGGCUACGUUAGAUUAGCUAGUUGGUGAGGUAAUGGCUUACCAAGGCUAUGAUCUAUAGCUUGUCUGAGAGGACGAUCAGCCACACUGGAACUGAGAUACGGUCCAGACUCCUACGGGAGGCAGCAGUGGGGAAUAUUGGACAAUGGGCGAAAGCCUGAUCCAGCUAUGCCGCGUGAGUGAAG
Molecule: ribosomal RNA, 203 nt
Filed under: Ehrlichia canis
Lineage: Bacteria; Pseudomonadati; Pseudomonadota; Alphaproteobacteria; Rickettsiales; Anaplasmataceae
Description: partial 16S ribosomal RNA
Rfam family: Bacterial small subunit ribosomal RNA
Source: RNAcentral